AGCGUACACGGUGGAUGCCCUGGCAGUCAGAGGCGAUGAAGGACGUGCUAAUCUGCGAAAAGCGUCGGUAAGGUGAUAUGAACCGUUAUANCCGGCGAUGUCCGAAUGGGGAAACCCAGUGCAAUUCGUUGCACUAUCGUUAACUGAAUACAUAGGUUAACGAGGCGAACCGGGGGAACUGAAACAUCUAAGUACCCCGAGGAAAAGAAAUCAACCGAGAUUCCCCCAGUAGCGGCGAGCGAACGGGGAGCAGCCCAGAGUCUGAAUCAGCUUGUGUGUUAGUGGAACGGUCUGGAAAGUCCGACGGUACAGGGUGAUAGUCCCGUACACCAAAAUGCACAGGUUGUGAACUCGAAGAGUAGGGCGGGACACGUGGUAUCCUGUCUGAAUAUGGGGGGACCAUCCUCCAAGGCUAAAUACUCCUGACUGACCGAUAGUGAACCAGUACCGUGAGGGAAAGGCGAAAAGAACCCCGGCGAGGGGAGUGAAAAAGAACCUGAAACCGUGUACGUACAAGCAGUGGGAGCACCUUCGGGUGUGACUGCGUACCUUUUGUAUAAUGGGUCAGCGACUUAUAUUCUGUAGCAAGGUUAACCGUAUAGGGGAGCCGCAGGGAAACCGAGUCUUAACUGGGCGUUAAGUUGCAGGGUAUAGACCCGAAACCCGGUGAUCUAGCCAUGGGCAGGUUGAAGGUUGGGUAACACUAACUGGAGGACCGAACCGACUAAUGUUGAAAAAUUAGCGGAUGACUUGUGGCUGGGGGUGAAAGGCCAAUCAAACCGGGAGAUAGCUGGUUCUCCCCGAAAGCUAUUUAGGUAGCGCCUCGUGAAUUCAUCUUCGGGGGUAGAGCACUGUUUCGGCUAGGGGGUCAUCCCGACUUACCAACCCGAUGCAAACUACGAAUACCGAAGAAUGUUAUCACGGGAGACACACGGCGGGUGCUAACGUCCGUCGUGAAGAGGGAAACAACCCAGACCGCCAGCUAAGGUCCCAAAGUCAUGGUUAAGUGGGAAACGAUGUGGGAAGGCACAGACAGCCAGGAUGUUGGCUUAGAAGCAGCCAUCAUUUAAAGAAAGCGUAAUAGCUCACUGGUCGAGUCGGCCUGCGCGGAAGAUGUAACGGGGCUAAACCAUGCACCGAAGCUGCGGCAGCGACACUAUGUGUUGUUGGGUAGGGGAGCGUUCUGUAAGCCUGCGAAGGUGUGCUGUGAGGCAUGCUGGAGGUAUCAGAAGUGCGAAUGCUGACAUAAGUAACGAUAAAGCGGGUGAAAAGCCCGCUCGCCGGAAGACCAAGGGUUCCUGUCCAACGUUAAUCGGGGCAGGGUGAGUCGACCCCUAAGGCGAGGCCGAAAGGCGUAGUCGAUGGGAAACAGGUUAAUAUUCCUGUACUUGGUGUUACUGCGAAGGGGGGACGGAGAAGGCUAUGUUAGCCGGGCGACGGUUGUCCCGGUUUAAGCAUGUAGGCUGGUUGUCCAGGCAAAUCCGGAUAAUCAAGGCUGAGGUGUGAUGACGAGGCACUACGGUGCUGAAGUAACAAAUGCCCUGCUUCCAGGAAAAGCCUCUAAGCAUCAGGUAACAUCAAAUCGUACCCCAAACCGACACAGGUGGUCAGGUAGAGAAUACCAAGGCGCUUGAGAGAACUCGGGUGAAGGAACUAGGCAAAAUGGUGCCGUAACUUCGGGAGAAGGCACGCUGGUGUGUAGGUGAAGCCCCUGCGGGUGGAGCUGAGACCAGUCGAAGAUACCAGCUGGCUGCAACUGUUUAUUAAAAACACAGCACUGUGCAAACACGAAAGUGGACGUAUACGGUGUGACGCCUGCCCGGUGCCGGAAGGUUAAUUGAUGGGGUUAUCCGUAAGGAGAAGCUCUUGAUCGAAGCCCCGGUAAACGGCGGCCGUAACUAUAACGGUCCUAAGGUAGCGAAAUUCCUUGUCGGGUAAGUUCCGACCUGCACGAAUGGCGUAAUGAUGGCCAGGCUGUCUCCACCCGAGACUCAGUGAAAUUGAACUCGCUGUGAAGAUGCAGUGUACCCGCGGCAAGACGGAAAGACCCCGUGAACCUUUACUAUAGCUUGACACUGAACAUUGAGCCUUGAUGUGUAGGAUAGGUGGGAGGCUUUGAAGCGUGGACGCCAGUCUGCGUGGAGCCAACCUUGAAAUACCACCCUUUAAUGUUUGAUGUUCUAACGUUGGCCCCUUACCGGGGUUGCGGACAGUGUCUGGUGGGUAGUUUGACUGGGGCGGUCUCCUCCCAAAGCGUAACGGAGGAGCACGAAGGUUAGCUAAUCCUGGUCGGACAUCAGGAGGUUAGUGCAAUGGCAUAAGCUAGCUUGACUGCGAGCGUGACGGCGCGAGCAGGUGCGAAAGCAGGUCAUAGUGAUCCGGUGGUUCUGAAUGGAAGGGCCAUCGCUCAACGGAUAAAAGGUACUCCGGGGAUAACAGGCUGAUACCGCCCAAGAGUUCAUAUCGACGGCGGUGUUUGGCACCUCGAUGUCGGCUCAUCACAUCCUGGGGCUGAAGUAGGUCCCAAGGGUAUGGCUGUUCGCCAUUUAAAGUGGUACGCGAGCUGGGUUUAGAACGUCGUGAGACAGUUCGGUCCCUAUCUGCCGUGGGCGCUGGAGAAUUGAGGGGGGCUGCUCCUAGUACGAGAGGACCGGAGUGGACGCAUCACUGGUGUUCGGGUUGUCAUGCCAAUGGCACUGCCCGGUAGCUAAAUGCGGAAGAGAUAAGUGCUGAAAGCAUCUAAGCACGAAACUUGCCCCGAGAUGAGUUCU
This 2771-nucleotide ribosomal RNA is filed under the name Klebsiella pneumoniae. RNAcentral describes it as "bacterial LSU rRNA". It matches the Rfam family "Bacterial large subunit ribosomal RNA". Lineage: Bacteria; Pseudomonadati; Pseudomonadota; Gammaproteobacteria; Enterobacterales; Enterobacteriaceae. The record is from RNAcentral.